Non-coding RNA from Punica granatum (pomegranate), 2127 nucleotides. Lineage: Eukaryota; Viridiplantae; Streptophyta; Magnoliopsida; Myrtales; Lythraceae. The record is from RefSeq and is a predicted model, not a curated record.
CCCAAGCCAAAAGAGUCGAGGCCAAGGGAAAAUCAGCAAGCCUCAGCUGAAGCAGGCGGUCCUUUGAACGUUGAUCGGAAGAUAUCUCAGUUAGAAAGCAUGAAUAACAAUCGUCUUAAAGAUGAUGAGCAAAAGUUCGGUCGCUCUACCCAUAACAAGCAGCGACUAGUUGAGCAAAAGGCCGAUACAUCUCUAAUGGAAUUAUUACAGGAGCAACAUACUGAGGUAUGUAAUAAACUUGGUAUUGGUCUUCAAGAAUAUGACUUAGAAAAGGCGCGGCUUAAUGAGCUUCUCGAUGCAGAGGUAAAUGGAAGGCCUAGUCAAGUUGGAUAACUUUUAUGCUUACCUUUCAUUGUUGAACAGUAUAGUGCCUCGGAAACAGUGUUGAUUGAUGUGGUUGGCAGAGAGAGCUUACUCGAACGUAUGAGCCUCGACGCAGGUUAAAGAUCAAGCUAUUCAGGUAAGCACUCAAGAACUGGAAGAUAUGACGGCUCUCACUCAACAUGGACAAAAGGCAGUUCCUGAAGAGACAAAUCAAGCUAUUGAGUAGGAAGACGUUGGACUAAUAGGUCGAAGGAAGGGUGGUAAUUGCUCAAAUCGGCUAUGCAAUAUGCCCGAUAAGGUUCUUCUUCAGAUCCUGUCUUUCCUCCCAUUGAAGGAUGCGGUGAGGACCAGCAUAUUAUCUAAAAGGUGGGGUCACUUGGGGGCCUUGGUUCCUGAUCUUCACUUCACAGAAUCUGACUUUCCUACUAAGCCGCUCUUCCUGGAUGCUCUUCGAGGCGGAUCUCCUAUAAGAGCCUUUUUCUAUCUUUUGUGGCGUAGUUGGUCCUGUAUCCUGCAUCGGGAAAUUGAUUACUUCUUCUGUGACAUGCUGUGGUGUAGAGAAUCUCUCUCUAUUCCUCUAUAACUCUGCAGGGGCUUAUAAAUUACCUUCCUCCAUAUUCCAGUGUGGAACUUAAGAAAUGCUCCACGUGAAAUCUCGCUGCAUCCUCGAACUCCCUUCUUCAAUUUGUCUUUCGAACCUCAAGGUCUUGAUUCUUGAUGAGGUCAUAUUUGAGGAUAAAGAUUCAGUAGAGAAGUUGUUUUCCUGUCCGUUACUUGAAAAGUUAGAAAUCAUGAACUGAAACUCGAAAGCGUACAUGUUUCUGCCCCCAGGCUUCAACAUUUGUUAGUCUGCAACUACGAUGGCAAAGGAUUUUCAUAUGACCUUCAAUUGCACAUCAAUGGAGCUUCUCUCAAGUCCUUCGUCUGUAACAUUGGCUACGCCAACCAACAAUGCAUAUUCGGGGAGACCACUCAUCUAGUUGAGGCCAAUGUAGGGCUUCAACCAUGUCAUGGGAAAGAAAAUUUAUUUGGGAUCUAUGGUUAUAUUUCCUGUCAGUACUCUCCAACUUGAAGGAAUUAUCUCUAGAUUACGAACUUAUCGAGGUAUGCUUACUUUCCGACAUUUCCAUCUUUCAACUGUGAUUUUAUUUUUUAUUCACCUUUUUGUUCCAUCCUUAAGAACUUGCCGAAAGGGAUGAGGUUCCUCUGUUCAGUAAUACGAUAAAGUUAACAGUGGAUUGGAGACAUUCAUCCUCACUCGUUAAGGGCCUUUGGGCGAUCUUCAGAACGUCUCCUCGUCUUCAAACUUUGUGUUUUUAUUGGGAAUUCGGCGACUGGAGCGUGGAGAAUGCAACAGAUGGAGAGCUAGGCCCAGUGCUUUCAUGUUUCCUGACAGAGCUCAAAGAGAUCUCUAUCAGGUUUUUAGGUGAAUAUCAUCAGGAAGAGAUUUUCUUGGUAGGAGCUUUCCUUGGGACGGCAGCAGCUUUAGAAGAAGUGGCCAUCGCAUUUAACGAGAACGAACUGGACAUCAAAAAAUAUCGUAGCUCUACUGGAAGAUUUAAGGAAGUUCCCCAUGGGGUCAAAAAAUGUUCGAAUCUUGUUGGAACCACUACCUCGGCGUUAUUAUGGAGGAUCCAUCUCAGGAAAUUGAAGGGGGCAGUUCAUCUUCUACUCUUGAACUUCUGUGUUCUCUCUCUUUUUUCCUUGUUUUCUUGGAUUAUAUAUUUUGGUGACAUUGAUGUGAUUUUGCUCUCUUAAAGGCAGGACUGAGAUAAUUUUAUUAAGCAAGAAAUGCUCCGAUAU